This 472-nucleotide ribosomal RNA is filed under the name uncultured bacterium. Its description in RNAcentral is "bacterial SSU rRNA". It matches the Rfam family "Bacterial small subunit ribosomal RNA", at positions 355 to 825 of the family's 1533-position model. The record is from RNAcentral.
UGGGGAAUAUUGGACAAUGGGCGAAAGCCUGAUCCAGCCAUGCCGCGUGUGUGAAGAAGGCCUUCGGAUUGUAAAGCACUUUAAGUUGGGAGGAAGGGCCAUUACCUAAUACGUGAUGGUUUUGACGUUACCGACAGAAUAAGCACCGGCUAACUCUGUGCCAGCAGCCGCGGUAAUACAGAGGGUGCAAGCGUUAAUCGGAAUUACUGGGCGUAAAGCGCGCGUAGGUGGUUUGUUAAGUUGGAUGUGAAAUCCCCGGGCUCAACCUGGGAACUGCAUUCAAAACUGACUGACUAGAGUAUGGUAGAGGGUGGUGGAAUUUCCUGUGUAGCGGUGAAAUGCGUAGAUAUAGGAAGGAACACCAGUGGCGAAGGCGACCACCUGGACUGAUACUGACGCUGAGGCGCGAAAGCAAGGGGAGCAAACGGGAUUAGAUACCCCCGUAGUCCCUGAGCGGGCUGGCAAGGCGCAU